UUGCAACCGGGUGAAACAACGGCAAGACCAGGAGAGCAACAGGCUUGAGAUCAGGAAAAAAAAAGAAGAAGAAAGAAAACACCACUCAUGAAAAUUACAUCAAACAUAUCACGGGCACAGUGACCCACAGACCUGAUGAGGCUAACAGUUCGAGACCUAACUGACCUGACUCGACCCGAUGGAUAAAGCCUUAAAUUGACUGCUCCCAGGUCGGACUCGGCGGACGGAAAGAUCUUUCGUUCUCUCGAGGCUUUUGUUAGAGGACCCUGGACGCCAAACCCUAGCGGCUAGCAACACCAUGAUCUACGACGUCAACUCUCCUCUCUUCCGCUCCUUCCUCAGCCAGAAGGGCGGCGUCUCCGACAAGAGGAGAUCUGAAGAACAAAAGCCAAAGGAGCAGAAGCCAAAGGCUAGCGAGAACAAGCCUGUGAUGACAGAAUGAGAACGGCGCGAGCAAGAAUGCCUGACCGAUGACAAUGGAUAUACUUCUCUCUACCGAUGGUUGACUUCUUAAGUAUUCUAUAGUCUUGGUUGGGAUUAUGAUAGGUUGUAAUCAUCUCCUUCCAGCUUAAACAUUAAUGCAUCCCUGACUUACUGACAUGGGUAUGUAAUCGGAAAGUUAUGAUACUUGAACACCUGUUACUCCGUCAUCGUACUAGAUUAAGCAGUUGAUCUUAGACUUUUCAUGUUUUUAGCUAAAGAUUACUGCGAAGUCAUUCUCAUAUGCCAGAGGAAACUGGUGGUGGCCUGUUCUUGCCUGUUUCUUUUGUUUGGUAGCAGGGUACAUGGACCUUUGUGGCCUUCAAGUGCUGAUCCCUGAUGGAAUCCAAAGUCUUGUCAGCUUAAUAGGUGCUGCCCUGUCAGAUCUCUAGUACAAGAAUGGUUUCAUGGCAAUUUGAUUACCUUCCAGUCUACCACUAAUCACAAGACAAGUCACUAUUUACACGACACUGAUGGUAUGAUUUCCUGUCCUGGAACAGGAAGUUCUGAAUAAAUUUAACAAGAUUUAUUGGUAUGAUCUAUGAAACAAUAGGUGCUACAAAGCCAUUCCAUAUCCAUACAGCCAAAGUACGUACAGUAGCAAUAGUAGGGGAGAGUGAAGAGAAAUUGGCGGUGGUUGCUGUGGUGGAGAGAGGAUCCGAGGUGUCCAAAUUAAUCAGAAGGGGACAUGUGGGGCACGCGGAAGGGCCAAAGCAACGACCAAGGACUGAAGGGCAGAAGACUUGUGAUUGGGCUCAAGGUCACUCCCACUCGAUUACAGUGAGAGAGAGAGAGAGAGGGGUAUCAUCAAUUAUAUCCAUGUGCAUGUUUACACUCCUCCCCUCCCAUCUCACCUCUCCUUUUCUUUGUCAAAACCUAUUCCCAUGGGUUUUUUUCAUCCCUCUCAAACUUUAUUUUUACCUUUUUCCUCUUACUGGGGACUCUUAAGGCAACAUAGUCAAUCGAUUAGUAUCGCUGGGAUGUGAGAGGAGGGGCGGGGGAGGGAUGGGACCUCAUGACAUCUGUUGGAUGACAGAGGAUUGUAACGUGCUUUUAGAUUGUGCAUGUAUAUUGGAAGACGAUUAAAGCUGCAAAUUGGAUCGCCAUCUUUGCCAUCUAGCACUUCAAAAAGAUUCUCUAGACACAUUAGGGGUCUCUUCUCUACUGUUGUGUCAUUUUCUCAUUCUGGUUGCAUCUAAACUAGAGUAGGAUGAGCAGAUGUUGUAAAAAUAAUAAUAAUAAUAAUAAUAGAUCAGUGGGAUGGGAUCAUCAUGGUUGGACUUUCUUGAUGUCUCUCUACCAUCUAGACUUGCCGCUAUAAACCAUAUCAACGGAAUCCUACGCUACCAUUGCAAGAAGGGAAAAAUGUGCACAAAUUAGGAAAGCAUUGUCCUUCGGAAAGUUGCUCUUGGUAGCCUUUCCCAUCCCCGCUUUACUCACGCCCACCCCAAUUCACGCUUUAGUUCUUUUUUCCUCGCCCAAAAGCAGCAUCACAAUUACCACCCUGCUUCUCUUCUUCUACCUCUCUCCCAUCCUUUCACCUUCGCCUCCCUACAACAAAGAAAGCUGAGGAGAAGAAGACAUGACCCAGCUGUGCAGCUCUGACACCCACCUCCUCCUGGGCCUCCUCUUCUAUGACUUGCUAUCCCUGUGCUCCUUCUUAGCCUCCCAUCCCCUCCACUUGGCUUACUUCCUCUUCUUCUUCCCUUACCUUUUCCGACUUCUCUCAUUCUUCUACCCACUCCUCCUCUCCACCUCCCUCCUCCUCCUCGUCCUCCUCACCAUCUCUCCCCAGCUGGAUGAUCCCCCUCGCGGACCGCCCGGAUUACUUCGAAACACUUGCUCCAUUGUCUUCCACCUUCUCAAGGCAAAGCUUGAAAGCCAUGCCCCUGUCGAGCUACUAGACCAACUGGCCUCGAUGGUUCUCGCACCAAUUGACGACGCAGGCCCAUACUUCCAAGAGCCUGUCAUGCCGGCGUGCGUUGGUGCAGAGGUGUUUGAGCUGCAGUUCGGAACCAAGGGCGACUUCUGCAAACCUUCUAGUGUAGUAGUAAGUUGUGCGGUAGAAGAGAUCCCAAGUAAGCCUGGUCUGGAGAAUUCUCAAAAGGGUGAACUUUUGGCUUCCAAUUAUGGAAUUGGAGAGAACCCACUCAUGGAUCCUAAAGAGAAUGAGCUUUUGGUACCCCAUUCCGACGGUACACAGUUAACCAACAAAGUUGCCGAAGAUUCGUCGACAGCUUUUGAGCCUGAAAACUCAUGCAGGAUGCCUGAGCCGGCUGCUGACAGUGUAGGAGGAGAACUUAUGAGAUCCACUUCAAGGAGAAGAAGACAGAGUACAUGCAGAGGUUCGGAUGGCCUUCAAAGAGAUAAUUCUAUGAGAAAAGAAAAAGAGUGGAAGAGGACAUUAGCUUGCAAGCUUUACGAGGAGCGUAUGACGUAUAAGCUAUGCGAGGAGCGAACGGUUGCUGAAGGAGGUGAAGAGAUGGAUUUGCUUUGGGAGGCUUAUGAGGUGAAUGCUUCCAAGGAUGGUAAGUUGAUGAGCAAUGGAAGAAAAGGAAAGAAAGAUGAGCAGGAAGAGGAAGAUGAAGGGACAGUUGGGCAGCUGUGUUGCUUACAAGCAUUGAGACUGUCAGCAGGAAAGAUGAAUUUGGGAGUUGGGAGGCCUAAUUUAGUGAAGAUAUCCAAGGUCUUGAAAGGGAUGGCAAUGUUUAAGCGUGUGGGCAGGCAUAGUAGCAGAAAGGAAUGAAAUUGAGCUACCUACAGUGAAGAAGCUUACAAGAGCAGGUCGGACUCGGCGAACCGAAAGAUCUCUCGCUCUCUCGAGGCUUUUAUCGGAGGACCCUGGAUGCCAAACCAUAGCGGCUGGCAACACCAUGAUCUACGAUGUCAACUCUCCUCUCUUCCGCUCCUUUCUCAGCCAGAAGGGCGGCGUCUCCGACAAGAGAUUUGAGCCCCAUCUGAAGGUCAGGACUUUCAAUAUCUAGCUGUAUGAUUGCUUACAAUGCAGGAAAUUUUGUGGCUUUAAUCGAUGCCACGGAGAUCUGAAGAACAAAAGCCAAAGGAGCAAGGGCCAAAGGCUAGCGAGAACAAGCCUGUGAUGACAGAAUGAGAACGACGCGAAUGAGAAUGCUUCUCCUCUACUGAUGGUAGACUUCUUAAAGUAUUCUAUAGUCUUGGUUGGGAUUAUGAUAGGUUGUAGCCAUCUCCUUCUAGCUUAAACUUUAAUGCAUCCUUGACUUACCGACAUGGGUAUGUAAUCGGAAAGUUAUGAAACUUAAACAACUGCUACUCCUCCAUUGUACUAGAUUAAGCAGUUGAUCUUAGACUUUUCAUGCUUUAAGCUAAA
Non-coding RNA from Phoenix dactylifera (date palm), 3826 nucleotides. The record is from RefSeq and is a predicted model, not a curated record. Lineage: Eukaryota; Viridiplantae; Streptophyta; Magnoliopsida; Arecales; Arecaceae.